GAUGAAGAACGCAGCGAAAUGCGGUAAGUAAUGUGAAUUGCAGAAUUCAGUGAAUCAUCGAAUCUUUGAACGCACAUUGCGCCCUCUGGUAUUCCGGGGGGCAUGCCUGUUCGAGCGUCAUUAUAACCACUCAAGCUCUCGCUUGGUAUUGGGGUUCGCGGUUCCGCGGCCCCUAAAAUCAGUGGCGGUGCCUGUCGGCUCUACGCGUAGUAAUACUCCUCGCGAUUGAGUCCGGUAGGUCUACUUGCCAGCAACCCCCAAUUUUUACAGGUUGACCUCGGAUCAGGUAGGGAUACCCGCUGAACUUAAGCAUAUCAUAAGCGGAGGA
This 328-nucleotide unclassified non-coding RNA is filed under the name soil metagenome. RNAcentral describes it as "partial contains 5.8S ribosomal RNA, internal transcribed spacer 2, and large subunit ribosomal RNA". The stretch from base 1 to 120 matches the Rfam family "5.8S ribosomal RNA", at positions 35 to 154 of the family's 154-position model. The record is from RNAcentral.